ACAACGGCUGGCGGUGUGCUUCACACAUGCAAGUCGAACGGAGUAGCAAUACUCAGUGGCGGACGGGUGAGUAACACGUGGGAAUCUACCAUUAGAUGGGGAAUAACAGGCCGAAAGGACUGCUAAUGCCGCAUAUGUAUGUGACUCGACAGGGUCGUAUAUGAAAGGAGUAAUCCGUCUGAUGAUGAGCCCGCGUCCGAUUAGCUAGUUGGUAGGGUAAAAGCCUACCAAGGCGACGAUCGGUAGGUGGUCUGAGAGGAUGAUCACCCACAAUGGGACUGAGACACGGCCCAUACUCCUACGGGAGGCAGCAGUGGGGAAUUUUGUGCAAUGGGGGAAACCCUGACACAGCGACACCGCGUGAGCGAAGAAGCCCUUUGGGGUGUAAAGCUCUGUCAACGGGAACGAAAAAAAUGACGGUACCCGUGGAGGAAGCAUCGGCUAACUCUGUG
RNAcentral lists this ribosomal RNA (452 nucleotides) under uncultured bacterium. RNAcentral describes it as "bacterial SSU rRNA". It matches the Rfam family "Bacterial small subunit ribosomal RNA", at positions 35 to 507 of the family's 1533-position model. The record is from RNAcentral.